GUGUCAUUAGCUCAGUUGGUAGAGCAUCUGACUUUUAAUCAGAGGGUCGCAGGUUCGAAUCCUGCAUGACACACCA
This 76-nucleotide transfer RNA is filed under the name Exiguobacterium acetylicum. RNAcentral describes it as "tRNA-Lys". It matches the Rfam family "tRNA". From Rfam's summary of the family: Transfer RNA (tRNA) molecules are approximately 80 nucleotides in length. RNAcentral also lists the same sequence under 45 other names. Lineage: Bacteria; Bacillati; Bacillota; Bacilli; Caryophanales. The record is from RNAcentral.